GAUGAACGCUGGCGGCGUGCUUAACACAUGCAAGUCGAACGGAAACAGGAUGAAGCCUAGCGAUUCCUGUUUUAGUGGCGGACGGGUGAGUAACGCGUGGGUAACCUGCCUUACACUGGGGGAUAACAGUUAGAAAUAGCUGCUAAUACCGCAUAAGCGCACAGGGCCGCAUGGCCUGGUGUGAAAAACUCCAGUGGUGUAAGAUGGACCCGCGUCUGAUUAGCUAGUUGGUGAGGUAACGGCCCACCAAGGCGACGAUCAGUAGCCGGCCUGAGAGGGUGAACGGCCACAUUGGGACUGAGACACGGCCCAAACACCUACGGGAGGCAGCAGUGGGGAAUAUUGGACAAUGGGGGAAACCCUGAUGCAGCGACGCCGCGUGAGUGAAGAAGUAUUUCGGUAUGUAAAGCUCUAUCAGCAAGGAAGAAAAUGACGGUACUUGACUAAGAAGCCCCGGCUAACUACGUGCCAGCCGCCGCCGUAA
This 484-nucleotide ribosomal RNA is filed under the name uncultured bacterium. Its description in RNAcentral is "partial 16S ribosomal RNA". It matches the Rfam family "Bacterial small subunit ribosomal RNA", at positions 28 to 523 of the family's 1533-position model. The record is from RNAcentral.